UUUCUCUUCCUAGCCGUCCUAACUUCAGGUCUGAGAGUCUGGAGGCCAUCUCUGUAACCAGAGACCAUGAAGCAACCAGAUCUACCAACCCAGUCAGUUCUGGGUGCUGCUGCCCCUCUGGGAGGUUCUGUGCUUCCUGCAACUUGAAGAUGGAUUCCAGUUUAAGGCAGGU
Cyprinodon tularosa is the source of this 172-nucleotide long non-coding RNA. RefSeq lists it as uncharacterized. The transcript is spliced from 3 exons. The record is from RefSeq and is a predicted model, not a curated record. Lineage: Eukaryota; Metazoa; Chordata; Actinopteri; Cyprinodontiformes; Cyprinodontidae.